Molecule: ribosomal RNA, 273 nt
Filed under: uncultured bacterium
Lineage: Bacteria
Description: partial 16S ribosomal RNA
Rfam family: Bacterial small subunit ribosomal RNA
Source: RNAcentral
GACGAACGCUGGCGGCGUGCUUAACACAUGCAAGUCGAACGGAAGUAGCAAUACUUCAGUGGCGCACGGGUGAGGAACACGUAGCUCAUCUGCCCUCAAGUGUGGGAUAACGCUCCGAAAGGAGUGCUAAUACCGCAUAAGCUCCCGGAUUGCAGAGGUCUGGGAGAAAAGGAGUAAUUCGCUUGAGGAGGAGGCUGCGGCCCAUCAGGUAGUUGGUGCGGUAACGGCGCACCAAGCCGACGACGGGUAGGGGACCUGAGAGGGUCGACCCCC